UGGGGAAUAUUGCACAAUGGGCGCAAGCCUGAUGCAGCCAUGCCGCGUGUAUGAAGAAGGCCUUCGGGUUGUAAAGUACUUUCAGUCGGGAGGAAGGUGGUAAGGUUAAUAACCUUAUCAAUUGACGUUACCGACAGAAGAAGCACCGGCUAACUCCGUGCCAGCAGCCGCGGUAAUACGGAGGGUGCUAGCGUUAAUCGGAAUUACUGGGCGUAAAGCGCACGCAGGCGGUUGAUUGAGUCAGAUGUGAAAUCCCCGGGCUUAACCCGGGAAUUGCAUCUGAUACUGGUCAGCUAGAGUCUUGUAGAGGGGGGUAGAAUUCCAUGUGUAGCGGUGAAAUGCGUAGAGAUGUGGAGGAAUACCGGUGGCGAAGGCGGCCCCCUGGACAAAGACUGACGCUCAGGUGCGAAAGCGUGGGGAGCAAACAGG
This 429-nucleotide ribosomal RNA is filed under the name Chloroflexota bacterium. Its description in RNAcentral is "Chloroflexi bacterium partial 16S ribosomal RNA". It matches the Rfam family "Bacterial small subunit ribosomal RNA", at positions 355 to 776 of the family's 1533-position model. Lineage: Bacteria; Bacillati; Chloroflexota. The record is from RNAcentral.